CGAGCGACAAGGAGCAAUCUGACGGUGGCGACCGGCGCACGGGUGAGUAACACGUAUGCAACCUGCCUGUAAGCGGGGAAUAACCCGUUGAAAGACGGACUAAUACCGCAUAAUACUAAAUUACUGCAUGGUAAUUUAUUUAAACAUUUAUGGCUUACAGAUGGGCAUGCGCAUGAUUAGCUAGUUGGAGAGGUAACGGCUCCCCAAGGCAACGAUCAUUAGGGGUUCUGAGAGGAAGGUCCCCCCACACUGGUACUGAGACACGGACCAGACUCCUACGGGAGGCAGCAGUGAGGAAUAUUGGUCAAUGGACGAGAGUCUGAACCAGCCAAGUCGCGUGCAGGAAGAAUGUCCUAUGGAUUGUAAACUGCUUUUGCAGGGGAAUAAAGUGCAUCACGUGUGAUGUUUUGUAUGUACUCUGCGAAUAAGGAUCGGCUAACUCCGUGCCAGCCGCGGC
This 457-nucleotide ribosomal RNA is filed under the name uncultured bacterium. Its description in RNAcentral is "bacterial SSU rRNA". It matches the Rfam family "Bacterial small subunit ribosomal RNA", at positions 63 to 518 of the family's 1533-position model. The record is from RNAcentral.